This 468-nucleotide ribosomal RNA is filed under the name uncultured bacterium. RNAcentral's name for it is "partial 16S ribosomal RNA". It matches the Rfam family "Bacterial small subunit ribosomal RNA", at positions 28 to 507 of the family's 1533-position model. The record is from RNAcentral.
GACGAACGCUGGCGGCGUGCUUAACACAUGCAAGUCGAACGGAAAGGCCCUGCUUUUGUGGGGUGCUCGAGUGGCGAACGGGUGAGUAACACGUGAGUAACCUGCCCUUGACUUUGGGAUAACUUCAGGAAACUGGGGCUAAUACCGGAUAGGAGCUCCUGCUGCAUGGUGGGGGUUGGAAAGUUUCGGCGGUUGGGGAUGGACUCGCGGCUUAUCAGCUUGUUGGUGGGGUAGUGGCUUACCAAGGCUUUGACGGGUAGCCGGCCUGAGUGGGUGACCGGCCACAUUGGGACUGAGAUACGGCCCAGACUGCUACGGGAGGCAGCAGUGGGGAAUAUGGCACAAUGGGCGGAAGCCUGAUGCAGCAACGCCGCGUGCGGGAUGACGGCCUUCGGGUUGUAAACCGCUUUCGCCUGUGACGAAGCGUGAGUGACGGUAAUGGGUAAAGAAGCACCGGCUAACUACGUG